Long non-coding RNA from Rhinopithecus roxellana (golden snub-nosed monkey), 363 nucleotides. RefSeq lists it as uncharacterized. Lineage: Eukaryota; Metazoa; Chordata; Mammalia; Primates; Cercopithecidae. The transcript has 3 exons. The record is from RefSeq and is a predicted model, not a curated record.
UCUCCUGCUGCCUGGAUGUGAAGUGGUCUCCAAAAAGAUCCUUUGGGUGAAUAGGCAGACGGCCUGCUGGAUCCUGCAACCAUGACCCAACCCAGGACAUGCCAGCCUCCUUGCUGCCUCCCUGCAUUGUGUAUCUCCUUGGGCCCACAAGGCCCUGUCUUUGCGGAGACAGGGAUAGUGAAGACUUUGCAUACUUUGGAUCAGACUGCCAUCACUGGUAGAUUCAACCGUCCCCUCUGGCAAGUGAUUUGAACGGAAUCCAAAAGUCCCUCAGGCCUCCAAGACCUCUAACCAACUGCUGUGCUUGAGUAUCCCAGGAUCAUAUUUUGAAGACAAUAAAAGUGUUUAGAUAUAAGAGUUUCA